RNAcentral lists this transfer RNA (71 nucleotides) under Actinoplanes awajinensis subsp. mycoplanecinus. It matches the Rfam family "tRNA". From Rfam's summary of the family: Transfer RNA (tRNA) molecules are approximately 80 nucleotides in length. Their secondary structure includes four short double-helical elements and three loops (D, anti-codon, and T loops). Lineage: Bacteria; Bacillati; Actinomycetota; Actinomycetes; Micromonosporales; Micromonosporaceae. The record is from Rfam by way of RNAcentral.
GCGGUCGUAGCUCAGUGGUAGAGCGCCAGGUCGUGGCCCUGGAGGCGCGGGUUCAACUCCCGCCGGUCGCC